UGCCAGCCGCCGCGGUAACACGGGGGGCGCAAGCGUUAUUCGGAAUUAUUGGGCGUAAAGCGCGUGUAGGCGGUUCGUUAAGUCUGAUGUGAAAGCCCGGGGCUCAACCUCGGAAUAGCGCUUGAUACUGGAUCGCUUGAGACCGGAAGAGGGUAGUGGAAUUCCCAGUGUAGAGGUGAAAUUCGUAGAUAUUGGGAAGAACACCAGUGGCGAAGGCGGCUACCUGGUCCGGAUCUGACGCUGAGGCGCGAAAGCGUGGGGAGCAAACAGGAUUAGAUA
This 279-nucleotide ribosomal RNA is filed under the name uncultured bacterium. RNAcentral describes it as "partial 16S ribosomal RNA". It matches the Rfam family "Bacterial small subunit ribosomal RNA", at positions 506 to 784 of the family's 1533-position model. The record is from RNAcentral.